Molecule: long non-coding RNA, 411 nt
Filed under: Struthio camelus australis
Lineage: Eukaryota; Metazoa; Chordata; Aves; Struthioniformes; Struthionidae
Description: lncRNA (ENSSCUG00000015628.1)
Source: RNAcentral
CACAAAAUAUCGUAAUAUUCAGGAUAGACUGACACCAGUUCUCUGCUUCAGCUUCUUCCAGUCAGGAAAGCAAAGCCAGACCUCACUGCCAAGCUUCACAAAGGCUAGAUUGAUGAUGCCGACAUCGACAAAUGAACAUACCAUGGCAGCCUGGUCAUUCGGCUCAGUUUCAGGAUGACGGAGUUGCAGAGAGCUGAGCUUCCCUGUUGCUGGAGAAGUGAGAGCAGCUGGUCCAGUGCAGAGACAGCCAGUGCAUGGUCUGCAGCAUCCGGGAUGCAGUUGCUGCCGCCAGGAGAUGGAGUGAAAAGGGCUCCCCAGGACGCUCCCCCCCCGUACCGUUGUGGCGUUCGCGUCGUCAGAUCCCAGAGCCGGAUAUUCCGAAGGCAUCGGGGCAAUGAAUUACGCGUUUGA